GCCAACGACCAUACCACGUUGAAUACACCAGUUCUCGUCCGAUCACUGAAGUUAAACAACGUCGGGCGUAGUUAGUACUUGGAUGGGUGACCGCUUGGGAACACUACGUGCCGUUGGCUUUU
Molecule: ribosomal RNA, 122 nt
Filed under: Acyrthosiphon pisum (pea aphid)
Lineage: Eukaryota; Metazoa; Arthropoda; Insecta; Hemiptera; Aphididae
Source: RNAcentral